UGAAAACGUCAGUGUGGUAAAUUUCCCACAAAUAUUAGGAGUGAGAAAUAUGCAAUGUCUCACAAUAAGUAGCAGGUCCAAUUAGAGAGGAAUUUCCGUGCAGAUUAUCGAGUGCUGCUGCUCCAAACCAGGGAGCCACAGGCUGAGGACAUGACAAUGGCGGCGGACGCUCGCCUCGCCUGAGCUGAGGAAAGAAAGCGGGAGCUGCGUGACAAACUCCUCAGCCCGGCUGACUCCAGAAAGGAAACCAUGAAUCCAGAAGAAGUAAGACAACACCUAAAUGACAGCACAUCCAAUGACAAGUUGUACUCCACGCUCCCAAAGUCACGCGACAUCUUAGCCGCAACUCUAUCGCAACGAUUGAUGGGCUGUGAAGAAAACUGUG
Long non-coding RNA from Gasterosteus aculeatus aculeatus (three-spined stickleback), 385 nucleotides. The record is from Ensembl. NCBI's taxonomy places the organism in Eukaryota, Metazoa, Chordata, Actinopteri, Perciformes, Gasterosteidae.